Molecule: long non-coding RNA, 2014 nt
Filed under: Marmota monax (woodchuck)
Lineage: Eukaryota; Metazoa; Chordata; Mammalia; Rodentia; Sciuridae
Source: RNAcentral
GAACCUAGUGCAAUUGGGCCUUUGCUGUUGCCCAGCUUUUCACAGCUCCAGAAACUGACCCUCAUCCACUGGAAGUCGCAGGUGCAUGCAGUUUUGAAGGUGAGAGCUAGAAGUUGGCCUGCAUACCAGCUGUGUACUUGGAGGGAGUACCCAGUGCUGCCCCACAGCAUGCCCACCUGCCUGCUUGGAUCUCUUUUCCUGUUUUCAUCUCUGGUAGGGGGUGGUGGGAGGUAGGGCACCCAGGUAGGCCUCACUUUGAAGAAUGCAGGUCAUAACAGGGGUCAUAGAGUGGGUUGGCAUGGCCAUCAUUGUCUUUCCUGUGGACAUUCACCUACCUUACCCCCAACCCAGGCGGUCUUUAUUUUCCCACAGCUGGUCAGUGAGUUCUGCCCUCGGCUCACCUUUCUCAAGCUUUCAGACUGCCACAGUGUGACCACGGAUGCUCUCGUCAUGCUAGCCAAAGCCUGCCACCAGCUCUACAGCCUGGAUCUACAACACUCCAUGGUGAGCCCUGUGUCCCAAGGGACUCCGAAGAAGCCUAGGUAGAGGUGACAAGUAGCUCUGUGUUGGGUCCCCAGGUGGAGUCCACAGCUGUGGUGAGCUUUCUGGAGGAGGCUGGACCCCGAAUGCGCAGGCUGUGGCUGACCUAUAGUUUCCAGACAACAGCCAUCUUGGGUGCACUACUGGUAGGCUGGUGACGGGCAGGAGCAGAGCCAAAUGCUAAACGGGGGAGUGCCAGGCUGGUGACCCAGGUAUACUCUACCACUCCUGCAGGGUAGCUGCUGCCCCAAGCUCCAGGUCCUGGAGCUAAGCACCGGCCUCAACCGCAACAACACUCCUCUGCUGCUGCCUAUUGAGGUUCUUCAGAAAGGCUGUCCCCAGCUGCAGGUACCUGAUGACUUGCUUCUUACACCUGCCACCCUAUCCCCACCUGCAGCCUGAGCCUUGUCCCCAGGUACUGCGGCUGCUGAAUUUGAUGUGGCUGCCCAAGCCUUCUGGGCGAGGGGCAGCUCUGGGACCAGGCUUCCCCCACCUUGAGGAGCUCUGCCUCGCCAGCUCCACUUGCAACUUUGUGAGCAACGAUGUCCUGAGUCGCCUGCUCCAUGGCUCCCCCAACUUGCGCCUGCUGGAUCUUCGUGGCUGUGCCCGCAUCACGCCUGCUGGUCUGCGUGAUCUGCCAUGUAAAGGUCAGCUGUCCUGUUUGGUGGCUGGGCAGGUGGGAUGUGGGGACCCUUGCUUCUCCUGUGGCCAACACCAUUCCUGUCACCUCAGAGCUGGAGCAGCUGCACUGGGGCCUGUAUGGUGUGUCUGACCGGCUGUCUCUAGCUAAGGAGGGCAGCACCCUGUUGACUCAGAAGUGGCAUCACACCCUGCGGGAACUGGACUUGAGUGGCCAGGGCUUCAGUGAAAAGGACCUGGAGCAAGCCUUAGCUGCCUUCUCUGGCACCCAUGGAGGCGCCCACCCAGCCCUGUGCUCCCUUAACCUCAGGGGUACCCGGGUUACAGCAAGCACGAUCAGGUUAGCACCCAUCCCCCAGGCCCUUGAAGCUAGUACUGCUUGUGGCCCAGAGCUGGUGUGCCACCUUGCUCAGUACCCCUGAGGUCUGGGAGGGAGUGGAUACUUGGCCUUGGGAACACUAAGGGGGCUGGGUUUGAGCCUAGUUAGCUGUGGGUAGUAGGCCAGGGGUAGAGCAUAGGCAAACAGGGAUCCCUGGCUGAGCCCAGCCUUCUGGGCCUGCAUUUUCCUGGCAGCUGCUUACUUUCCCAUGACUUGCCCUACCCACAGCUCUAUGAUCAGUAGCUGCCCUGGCCUGCUAUACCUCAACCUGGAAUCCUGCCGCUGCCUCCCCAGGGGCCUGAAGCGUGCCUACCGAGGCCUAGAGGAAGUCCAGUGGUGUCUGGAGCAGCUACUCACCAGCCCCUCCUCCUCCAGCUAGGCAGUUCCAGCUCUGCCUGUACCCUUUCCCAGUUUGGGAUGUUUAAACAUUUUGUUACAGUAAAAUAUUUUUAGGAA